Molecule: transfer RNA, 72 nt
Filed under: Phrynosoma platyrhinos (Desert horned lizard)
Lineage: Eukaryota; Metazoa; Chordata; Lepidosauria; Squamata; Phrynosomatidae
Description: tRNA-OTHER
Source: RNAcentral
GCCUGUGUGGCAUAGUGGUUUGAGUGUUGGACUACAAAUCUGGAGACCAGGAUUCGAAUCCCAGCUUGGCCA